This 1366-nucleotide long non-coding RNA is filed under the name Gouania willdenowi (blunt-snouted clingfish). Its description in RNAcentral is "lncRNA (ENSGWIG00000018181.1)". Lineage: Eukaryota; Metazoa; Chordata; Actinopteri; Blenniiformes; Gobiesocidae. The record is from RNAcentral.
CCCCUCGGUGCUCCACUCCGAUCAGGGUCGGAAUUUCGAAUCGGAGGUAUUCACCACUAUGUGUAACCAGCUGGGCAUCCGGAAGACAAGGACCACUCCCCUGCACCCACAAAGUGACGGGCUGGUGGAGCGUUUCAUGCGGACCUUGGGCGCUCAGCUAGCCCUCACCACCGCUCCAGAUCAGAGUGACUGGGACCUGCAGCUACCCCUCAUUCUCAUGGCCUGCCGCAGUGCGGUCCAAGAAUCCACUGGCUGUACUCCUGCUUUGCUGAUGUUGGGCAGGGAGCUUAGAACACCACCAGAGCUGGCCUAUGGACGACCACCCGAUGCACCAGAUGCCAUGGCUGGGCCAGAGUAUGCCAGGCAGUUACAGGACCGCCUAGAGGCGGCCCACGGAUUUGCCCGACGUCAGGCUGAACAGGCAGGGGUCCGUCAGAAAAGAUGCUAUGACCUGCGAGCCAAGGGGCAGGACUUCCAGGCUGGGGACCUCGCCUGGGUGUAUGGACCCAAGAGAGUGAAAGGCCGCUGCCCCAAACUGGACAGCAACUGGGUUGGGCCCUGUUAUGUGGUGGAGAGAGUUGGAGAAGUUGUGUAUCGAGUCAAACUGGCUCCCAGAGGUCGCACGGUUGUGCUGCACAGGGAUAGGAUGGCACCAUACCGGGGGAAGCAGCAACCCGCCUUUCCAGUGACAACCUCUAGGGCACGGGUGAGAUCGUCACAUCGCAAUAGGGCCCCACCGAGGCGGCGUCAGGAUGUGCCACCAGGAGAGGCUGUGACACCGCUUGGAGCCCUGGUGCCUAGGGACAAUGCCACAACCAUUGGGACCCUGCUGUUGGAUGGUGGAAUCAGAAGGUCGCAGAGGGAACGGCGCCCUCCGGGUCGCUUUCAAGACUUUCUUCUUCCUCGGGGACGAGGAAUUAGAGGGGGGGGCUGUGUAGCGACCCUGCAGGACUUUGGGGGGGAUUGAUGGGAAGUUGUGGGGGAAGGAGUUGCCCUAGUUAGUCAGGAUAGGCCAGUUUUGUUUGGAGCGGAGGGAUCAGGGUAGUGUGGGGUGAAGAAGGCGGAGGGAGACGAAAAAGAGGAGAGAGUCGGGGAGGAAGAAAAAGCGAGACGCCACGACGAGUUGCCAGCCGAGUUAGCUCUCCGUUUUUGUUAUUUUCGGCACUCCUCCAACCCAGUAUUAGCCUGUUUUUGAGGGUAAUAAAACCCGGUUCACCCGGUUAAACGGCAGCCACUCUGUGUCCUCGUCAUUCGGCUAGUUAGCCCCGUAGUGUCGGGCCGCAAACGCCACAAUAUUAUUACUGAUUGUUUUAAGUUUAAAGCACUUUCGCUAUUUUUAAGUUUUUAUAGCCCCUCCCAUAAUUUU